GAUGAACGCUGGCGGCGUGCCUAAUACAUGCAAGUCGAGCGAACGGACGAGAAGCUUGCUUCUCUGAUGUUAGCGGCGGACGGGUGAGUAACACGUGGAUAACCUACCUAUAAGACUGGGAUAACUUCGGGAAACCGGAGCUAAUACCGGAUGAUAUUUUGAACCGCAUGGUUCAAAAGUGAAAGACGGUCUUGCUGUCACUUAUAGAUGGAUCCGCGCUGCAUUAGCUAGUUGGUAAGGUAACGGCUUACUAAGGCAACGAUGCAUAGCCGACCUGAGAGGGUGAUCGGCCACACUGGAACUGAGACACGGUCCAGACUCCUACGGGAGGCAGCAGUAGGGAAUCUUCCGCAAUGGGCGAAAGCCUGACGGAGCAACGCCGCGGGAGUGAUGAAGGUCUGCGGAUCGUAAAACUCUGUUAUUAGGGAAGAACAUAUGUGUAAGUAACUGUGCACAUCUUGACGGUACCUAAUCAGAAAGCCACGGCUAACUACGUG
RNAcentral lists this ribosomal RNA (497 nucleotides) under uncultured bacterium. Its description in RNAcentral is "partial 16S ribosomal RNA". It matches the Rfam family "Bacterial small subunit ribosomal RNA", at positions 28 to 507 of the family's 1533-position model. The record is from RNAcentral.